This 451-nucleotide ribosomal RNA is filed under the name uncultured bacterium. RNAcentral describes it as "partial 16S ribosomal RNA". It matches the Rfam family "Bacterial small subunit ribosomal RNA", at positions 29 to 523 of the family's 1533-position model. The record is from RNAcentral.
AACGAACGCUGGCGGCAGGCUUAACACAUGCAAGUCGAACGGGUGUAGCAAUACAUCAGUGGCAGACGGGUGAGUAACACGUGGGAACCUUCCUAGGGGUACGGAACAACUCAGGGAAACUUGUGCUAAUACCGUAUACGUCCGUGAGGAGAAAGAUUUAUCGCCCUUAGACGGGCCCGCGUCGGAUUAGCCAGUUGGUGGGGUAACGGCCUACCAAGGCGACGAUCCGUAGCUGAUCUUAGAGGAUGAUCAGCCACACUGGGACUGAGACACGGCCCAGACUCCUACGGGAGGCAGCAGUGGGGAAUCUUGGACAAUGGGCGCAAGCCUGAUCCAGCCAUGCCGCGUGAGUGAAGAAGGUCUUCGGAUUGUAAAGCUCUUUUGCCAGGGACGAUAAUGACGGUACCUGGAGAAUAAGCCCCGGCAAACUUCGUGCCAGCAGCCGCCGUAA